Amblyraja radiata (thorny skate) is the source of this 638-nucleotide long non-coding RNA. RefSeq lists it as uncharacterized. The transcript has 3 exons. Lineage: Eukaryota; Metazoa; Chordata; Chondrichthyes; Rajiformes; Rajidae. The record is from RefSeq and is a predicted model, not a curated record.
AUCACAAACCCUCUAAUCGGCAAGUUUUCAACAGCAACUGAGAACCAGAAACCACUGAACCAUUGGAAUGCAGAAACCACUAUCAGCUGACCAUAACAGCGAAUCCUUACAACCAGGAGAUCACAAACUGAUAAGAAAUUGGGAUCGGAGGAAAUUAGGAGAACGGUGGAAGGAGCCCAUCCCAGUACUAUUAACUACACCUACAGCAGUGAAGGUCGAAAAUAAUCCUCGUUGGAUACACCUAAUUUAUUGCGAAAGAAUUGGAAACUGGAAAAAGGAAGUAUGAACGUGGAUGUCCUCCUGCAAGACUGGAGGCAGUGCAACAACAGUCCCUCUGCCAUCGUGCCCCAUCGACACUAGUCCCACCUGCUAACAUUUGGCCCACAUCUCUAAACCUAUCCCAUCCAUGAAACUGUCCAAUCUUCAAUGAAAAUCCAUAUUCACGAUUUCACAAGGAGCAAGUGAGAUUAUGUAGCAAGAAAUAUGACAAUAAACAGGAAUGAAAUAGGAUGAAUGCAAAAUGUGUGGAAAGUUAAUAUUUCCACUCAGUGAACUUGCAUUAGAACUAGAACGCAGUCUUUAAAAGUAGAGGCAAAAGAUGGAACAAGAGAAAGUGGAUUUGGAAUAAAGCAGGAGGU